CUCACUAUACCCUCUCCGGUGGAUAAAAUUUAUCGUUUCGUUGAGUUAGCGUUGAAUAUAACACGCGUAAAGUCCACUGGAGGGAUUUACCUGAGGUUUAUAGCCACAUCGCUUUCUAUAAAUUCAUACGAGCUGUAAAUUUCGAAGCAUACGGAUAAAUAAAAGAUGCGCAUGCAUUCGAGAUGUUGUUAAUGGUAACGAGUGAAUACUUGUAUCGUCUCUCAGCUUACGAAAUACCAAUGCAGACCCCUGUGGAAAUCCAGUACUCAUCCUGAGUUUCUUUUCCUUUUGACUGACGUUACGGGAAUUUAGAAAAAAUUACACCGCUGGGAAGACACUUCAGGAUCGUUGACAUAAUGACACCAGCUGGACAGGAUCCACUGCCUGGAGGUGGAUGCAUGUCUGAGUGUGAAUACUGUACCAUAAAUUCUAUCCCUGGCGCCAUAUGCAAACGCGAUGAGAACGAGUAGAAGCGGAAUUCACCGGUUAAUGCCACAUUCAACUAACAGGUGGGAAUUACCAGAAGUACCGAGAGAUUUAACAUAUUGUGCAAACCCCAUGGACCAAUCAUCACCCGCAGGUUGAAAUAUGUGGCCUUGACAUAAACCCUAUGUACAUUGGUUUUUAUCCAUGUAUCUUUUUAAUAUCAGGGCUCCCAGGGUCAAAUUUCUAGACGAUCAAUCUCUCAUCA
Fopius arisanus is the source of this 691-nucleotide long non-coding RNA. RefSeq lists it as uncharacterized. Lineage: Eukaryota; Metazoa; Arthropoda; Insecta; Hymenoptera; Braconidae. The record is from RefSeq and is a predicted model, not a curated record. The transcript is spliced from 4 exons.